Molecule: ribosomal RNA, 1209 nt
Filed under: human gut metagenome
Description: bacterial LSU rRNA
Rfam family: Bacterial large subunit ribosomal RNA
Source: RNAcentral
CCGUAACUUCGGGAUAAGGUGUGCCUUUGUAGUGUGAAGAGUGAAACACUCCGAGCAUGAAGAGGUCACAGAGAAUAGGUGGCUGCAACUGUUUACUAAAAACACAGCACUCUGCAAAGACGAAAGUCGACGUAUAGGGUGUGAUGCCUGCCCGGUGCCGGAAGAUUAAGUGAUGGGGUGAGAGCUCCUGAUCGAAGUCCCGGUAAACCGGCGGCCGUAACUAUAACGGUCCUAAGGUAGCGAAAUUCCUUGUCGGGUAAGUUCCGACCUGCACGAAUGGCAUAAUGAUGGCCACACUGUCUCCUCCCGAGACUCAGUGAAGUUGAAAUGUUUGUGAUGAUGCAAUCUCCCCGCGGCUAGACGGAAAGACCCCAUGGAGCUUUACUGCAGCUUUGCAUUGGACUUUGAACCGAUCUGUGUAGGAUAGGCGGGAGGCAGAGAACCGAGGACGCCAGUCUUUGGGGAGCCGACGUUGAAAUACCGCCCUGAUUUGUUUGAGGUUCUAACCGCGGACAGUAAACCUGUUCCGGGACCGUGCAUGGUAGGCAGUUUGACUGGGGCGGUCUCCUCCUAAAGGGUAACGGAGGAGUACAAGGUACGCUAGGUACGGUCGGAAAUCGUGCUGAUAGUGCAAUGGCGCAAGCGUGCUUGACUGCGAGACCGACAAGUCGAGCAGAUGCGAAAGCAGGUCAUAGUGAUCCGGUGGCACUGAAUGGAAGGGCCAUCGCUCAACGGAUAAAAGGUACUCUGGGGAUAACAGGCUGAUACCGCCCAAGAGUUCAUAUCGACGGCGGUGUUUGGCACCUCGAUGUCGGCUCAUCUCAUCCUGGGGCUGUAGCCGGUCCCAAGGGUAUGGCUGUUCGCCAUUUAAAGAGGUACGUGAGCUGGGUUUAAAACGUCGUGAGACAGUUUUGUCCCUAUCUGCCGUGGGCGCUGGAAGAUUGACGGGGGCUGCUCCUAGUACGAGAGGACCGGAGUGGACGCACCUCUGGUGUACCGGUUGUCACGCCAGUGGCACAGCCGGGUAGCUAUGUGCGGAAGAGAUAACCGCUGAAAGCAUCUAAGCGGGAAACUUGCCUGAAGAUAAGUCUUCCCGGAGGCUAGACCUCCCAGAAGAGUCGUUCGAGACCAGGACGUUGAUAGGUCAGGAGUGCAAGCGCUGUGAGGCGUUGAGCUGACUGAUACUAAUUGCUCGUGAGGCUUGAUCCU